RNAcentral lists this ribosomal RNA (492 nucleotides) under uncultured bacterium. RNAcentral describes it as "partial 16S ribosomal RNA". It matches the Rfam family "Bacterial small subunit ribosomal RNA", at positions 29 to 507 of the family's 1533-position model. The record is from RNAcentral.
AGUGAACGCUGGCGGUAGGCCUAACACAUGCAAGUCGAACGGCAGCACAGUAAGAGCUUGCUCUUACGGGUGGCGAGUGGCGGACGGGUGAGGAAUAUAUCGGAAUCUACUUUUUCGUGGGGGAUAACGUAGGGAAACUUACGCUAAUACCGCAUACGACCUACGGGUGAAAGCAGGGGAUCUUCGGACCUUGCGCGAUUGAAUGAGCCGAUGUCGGAUUAGCUAGUUGGCGGGGUAAAGGCCCACCAAGGCGACGAUCCGUAGCUGGUCUGAGAGGAUGAUCGGCCACACUGGAACUGAGACACGGUCCAGACUCCUACGAGAGGCAGCAGUGGGGAAUAUUGGACAAUGGGCGCAAGCCUGAUCCAGCCAUACCGCGUGGGUGAAGAAGGCCUUCGGGUUGUAAAGACCUUUUGUUGGGAAAGAAAAGCAGCAGGUUAAUACCCCGCUGUUCUGACGGUACCCAAAGAAUAAGCACCGGCUAACUUCGUG